CUUACAAUUAGAAUUACCUUAAUUAGGCUUUCUUAUAUGUAAAAUAAAAUUAAAGUUAAAGAAGAUAUAUAAAUUGUACCUUUUGUAUCAGGGAAAUUUAAAAUUAUAUUAAAUUAUUAAUCGAGUAAAAUGGAUCUUUAUAUUUAGGAUUUAGUUGUAUUUAAAUCCUUUAAAUAAAUAAGAAGUGAAAAAUGUACGACGUUUAUGAUAUCUAAUUGUUUUUUAAUCAAAAGGUUAAGCUUUUGAUUGUCUAAACUACUAUUAAUAUAACGAAAACUAGGCUUUAGAUUAGUCAGGUUAAUAGAUUGUUUUAAGUAAUCUUUUAAAAAUUUACGAAAUUAGAAUUAUAAAGGCAAUAUGUAAAUAUUUAGAUAAAUAUAAAUAAUGAAUUUAUUGAAUAAAUAACGAAAAUUGAAAAUAACUCAUGAAGGCUAGAAAGUUUAACAAAAACAUUUCUGUUUGUUUAAAUAAAAGUAAAACCUGCCCGGUGAUGUAAGUUAAACGGCUGCGGUAUUUUGACUGUGCUAAGGUAGCAUAAUAAUUUGCUAUUUAAUUGUUAGCUGGUAUGAAAGGUAAAACUAGUUUAUUUAGUUUGUAAGUUUUAUUAAGAGAUUUAGGUUAAGGUAAUAACUCCUUAAUAUUUUAGGGGACGAUAAGACCCUAAAAGCUUAACAAAUGUUAUUUUAUUAAUUAUAAAAUUAAAUUUGUUUUACUGGGGCGGUACUAACAAUUAAACUGUUAUUAUAUUGAAAGAUCCUUUAUAUAAAGAAAUAACGGAUAAGUUACUUUAGGGAUAACAGUGUGAUAUAUUUAGAGAGAUCUUAUCGAUAAAUAUGAUUGCUACCUCGAUGUU
Molecule: ribosomal RNA, 853 nt
Filed under: Gammarus nekkensis
Lineage: Eukaryota; Metazoa; Arthropoda; Malacostraca; Amphipoda; Gammaridae
Description: partial large subunit ribosomal RNA
Source: RNAcentral